UUUCCGUAGGUGAACCUGCGGAAGGAUCAUUAUUGUAUAACCGAGGUGCGAGGGCUGUCGCUGACCCGAAAGGUCGUGCACGCCCGAGUGCUCUCACACACAUCCAUCUCACCCCUAUGUGCACCACCGCGUGGGUCCCCCUUUGGCUUGUUCGGAGGGGGGCUUACGUUUUCACACAAACUUUGUAUGCAGUGUAGAAUGUAUUAUUUGUUUUUGCGAUCACGCAAUCAAUACAACUUUCAACAACGGAUCUCUUGGCUCUC
This 263-nucleotide unclassified non-coding RNA is filed under the name plant metagenome. Its description in RNAcentral is "partial contains small subunit ribosomal RNA, internal transcribed spacer 1, and 5.8S ribosomal RNA". The record is from RNAcentral.